UGAACGCUGGCGGCGUGCCUAACACAUGCAAGUCGAGCGAUCUUCUUCGGAAGGGAGCGGCGGACGGGUGAGUAACGCGUGGGUAACCUGCCCUGUACACACGGAUAACAUACCGAAAGGUAUGCUAAUACGGGAUAACAUAAGAAAGUCGCAUGGCUUUCUUAUCAAAGCUUUUGCGGUACAGGAUGGACCCGCGUCUGAUUAGCUAGUUGGUAAGGUAACGGCUUACCAAGGCGACGAUCAGUAGCCGACCUGAGAGGGUGAUCGGCCACAUUGGAACUGAGACACGGUCCAAACUCCUACGGGAGGCAGCAGUGGGGAAUAUUGCACAAUGGGCGAAAGCCUGAUGCAGCAACGCCGCGUGAGCGAUGAAGGCCUUCGGGUCGUAAAGCUCUGUCCUCAAGGAAGAUAAUGACGGUACUUGAGGAGGAAGCCCCGGCUAACUACGUGCCAGCAGCCGCGGUAAUACGUAGGGGGCUAGCGUUAUCCGGAAUUACUGGGCGUAAAGGGUGCGUAGGCGGUCUUUCAAGUCAGAAGUGAAAGGCUACGGCUCAACCGUAGUAAGCUUUUGAAACUGUAAGACUUGAGUGCAGGAGAGGAGAGUGGAAUUCCUAGUGUAGCGGUGAAAUGCGUAGAUAUUAGGAGGAACACCAGUUGCGAAGGCGGCUCUCUGGACUGUAACUGACGCUGAGGCACGAAAGCGUGGGGAGCAAACAGG
This 718-nucleotide ribosomal RNA is filed under the name uncultured Clostridium sp. RNAcentral's name for it is "bacterial SSU rRNA". It matches the Rfam family "Bacterial small subunit ribosomal RNA", at positions 30 to 776 of the family's 1533-position model. The record is from RNAcentral. Lineage: Bacteria; Bacillati; Bacillota; Clostridia; Eubacteriales; Clostridiaceae.